AGAUUCCUGCACAAAAUACCAUUCAACAAAAAGAUACUGAAAAUCAACAAUCAAAUUGUAGUACUGAAAAUCAAGAGCAAUGUAUUAUUGUUUCAAGAUCCUUAACACAUAAGGAGAAAGCCAGACGGAGACAGGAACUUUGUCGAAGCAAGAAAAGACAAGAGCAAAGUCUUAUUGCAUCAAUAUCAAAGUGUAGUAGUAUUGAAAAUCAAGAUCAAAGUGAAUAAGUAAAGAGAUAGCCAGCAAAGUUAUAAUUACCUGAGGGAGGAAUGUGUUGUCUUUAUGAGGAGCAAAGAUUUCAAAUUGGAAAUGGGAAAAUAUACAGGAUAUCUUUUUAAAGAAAUACCUAGGUAACAGAAAUGUUAUGGGAAACGGUGUCUGGGCAACAAUGGUGUAAAUAUUAUCUGUUGCCAAAAUGUUGCAGACAAAUAUAUUAAUACAUACCAAAUAUAAGUAGGCUUAUUAUUCGCACAUGAAAUUUUUUAUUAUUAAAAUUUUUAAAGAAAAUAUAUAUUUAUGU
This is a long non-coding RNA of Gordionus sp. m RMFG-2023, 520 nucleotides long. RefSeq lists it as uncharacterized. The record is from RefSeq and is a predicted model, not a curated record. The transcript has 3 exons. Lineage: Eukaryota; Metazoa; Nematomorpha; Gordioida; Chordodea; Parachordodidae.